This 2549-nucleotide long non-coding RNA is filed under the name Mus musculus (house mouse). RNAcentral describes it as "long non-coding RNA chr9:100545886-100548435". Lineage: Eukaryota; Metazoa; Chordata; Mammalia; Rodentia; Muridae. The record is from RNAcentral.
AACUUCGCCGGGGAAAGAGGAAGCGACUAGAGACUAGCAGGCAGAGCGGACCGACCGGGAGACCGAAAGGACUGUGCGUGUGUCCGCACGCGAGCGAGGCCGUCUCACCUUCCCUCCGCCGAGCCCUCGGCUCCAGUCACCUGAGGACCGCACCGGGACGCCACCGCGGCUGCCCGGAUGCCGUUACCGCACGAGGCCUGUGCUGCGCCGCCGCGUAGCUCUCGGAGAGGGGCGGGGCGCGCGCAACCGGUGGGCGGACCGUUGCGGGCAGGAAACCCGCUCCACGCCCAAUCUAAUAGGCUCCAUCGCCUCCUGCGCCCGCCCCUGACGCUUCAGCGGAAUGCGCCGCUCCGGGAUUGGGCGAGCGGGCUUGUCAAUCAAGCGCGGGCCCUGAGUGGUCCCUGAGCUGAGACUGCGCGGCCUUUGGACAGAAGGUGAGGAGCGCCGGGCCCCACCGCCCUGUUCUCCCCUAGCCUCCUCGGUGGCUGCUUACUUUCCGCCUCUCCCACUGCUACUAAAACCUGUCAUUCAUUUUAAAUCGCUCAUUAAUGUCGAACAGCGGUCCCGAGUUCAACCCAGACUACUCUGGUGCCUGCAUCUGAAAGGGCCGACCAGCUGCAGAUCUUAGGGACAGGGAGCGACAAAGAAAAUGAAGCCUCGGGGGAAAAAUGUAAGAUGUUUGUUAAUGAAAACCACAACCAAAAUAAGCUUUGCGAGCAACUUCCGAGUGCCCUGGCGCGUGGGUAGCCUUCAUUCCCGGCUUCCAGUCCUGUGAAAAGGACAGUUACUUCUGCCCUAGGGGUGAGUAUGGCAGUGGCACAGUCCCAGCCACCUGCCAAGGAAGGCAUCAAUAAAUCGGCUCUCCUUCCUAACUUGCCUUACAGCGACUCAUAACCUGCCUCACUAUUUCCCAAUCACCUUUGUUGCUUAGUGUGGGUGUGGCACCUAAAAGAAACAUUCUAGGUUAGGUAAUUUUAUGGAAACACGAGUUUUUGCCUCCAGCGUAGCUGCACCCAUAUACCUAGAUUGCAAAGUCUAUUAAAAGAACUGUUUCACCCACGCCCACCUCGUGCCUAGCACAUCAUCCUCAACAAUCGAGGAAUUAAUACAGCUUCCUUUCAUCUUUUAAAAAUUCAUUUUUAUUCUUUGUGUGUUCGAGUGUUUGGUGUACUUGUGUUAUACUUGUGUAUAAUUUUGCUGCCCAUGGAGGUCAAAUGAGGGUAUAGGAUCUUCUGGAACUGGAGUUACAGAUGGUUUUGAACCACCCUGUGGGUGCUGGGAAUCAAACUCAGGCCCCUUGGAAGACCAGCGCUCUUAAUCACUGAAUCUCAGCCCCUUCCUUUAGCUAUACUACAAGCCCUACCUGUAAAUCCUAAAAAGUUGUUUUCUGCUUUUAACUUAAUUGCAUGUUAAUAAAUACAUGGGUGGCCUGCCCUAGGUAAAAUACAAGUUACCUGUAGCCCCUUUUAAUCCUGAGUUUAGUUGAGAAAAGUAGAACAUAAAACUGGGGAAAGGAUACUCUGCCUAUUGUUAGUAUCAAAAGUAAGUAAUGCAAAUUAUAUAUUUAAAAACAUACAUACCGAAGAGAAGGGGGUGAUGCAUGCAGAAGCAGGUGGAUCGAGGCCAGCCUGGUCUACAGAUUGAGUGUGAGUUCCAGGACAGCCAGGGCUACCCAGAGAAACCCUGUCUCAAAAAACAAAAAGACAAAUAUAUAUAUAUAUAUAUAUAUAUGCAGAGACAGGUUCAAGUUCUGCAAGUUCAAGGCCACCCUGGUUUAUGUAGCAAAUCCUAGGACAGUCAAGGCUACAUAGAGAGAUGCUAUCUCAAAAGCAAAAACAUACAGGCAGCUGACCCCCAUUAACUCCAAAGGAGGAUAUUUGGGGUAAUAAAGGAAAUAAGAAUCCUCCAUAUCUUAAGACCUUUCCCAGUAAGCUAUUGACAGCUUAUAUAGUUAGAAUGACCUAGUUUAGUGUCCCUAUCAUACAGUAAUGUUUAGGAGGAAGAAAAUCCUACCUAUCUGCUAUCAAGAAGUUAUCACAGACUUGAUAUUGAAGUGUAAACAUUAGUGGGCCCUACUAAAUAAACUUAACUUCUGGAUUUAGUAUAGUUAUGCUGUUAUAGGAAAGAGUCUACCUUGUAUGGAAGGUGCUAAAAUAGGCACUGCAGAUCUUGAGUCCACACCAGUGUCAGAUAUUGAGAUUUAAACCAACCUGUAUUAUUUCUGUGCUAACCAUAUCAACAGUUGUAUGUAGGGACAGAUGGGCAUUAAGCCACAAUGAGAGGGAAAUGUGUAGUAAGACUAUUUGAGCAAAAAGAAGGGCUUGGGAGGGAGUUACCAAGUCUAAAGACAUUAAGCAAUUAUAGUAAUGUUGAUGGAGCAGACAGUGGCUAGAUUUGAAGCAAUGUGUUAGGAAAGCUGAGGUCCUUAGAGUUUAUCCUACAAGAAAUGAGAAAGAGUUGUUUCACUAAAGAGUUGUUUUUCAGUACUUUUUCAGUAGAUCAUUCUGAUGUUUUCUAGCUCUUGUUUCUACUGAGAAGCAAGUAGCAAU